RNAcentral lists this ribosomal RNA (492 nucleotides) under uncultured bacterium. RNAcentral describes it as "partial 16S ribosomal RNA". It matches the Rfam family "Bacterial small subunit ribosomal RNA", at positions 29 to 507 of the family's 1533-position model. The record is from RNAcentral.
AGUGAACGCUGGCGGUAGGCCUAACACAUGCAAGUCGAACGGCAGCACAGUAAGAGCUUGCUCUUACGGGUGGCGAGUGGCGGACGGGUGAGGAAUACAUCGGAAUCUACUUUUUCGUGGGGGAUAACGUAGGGAAACUUACGCUAAUACCGCAUACGACCUACGGGUGAAAGCAGGGGAUCUUCGGACUUUGCGCGAAUGAAUUAGCCGAUGUCGUAUUAGCUAGUUGGGGGGGGAAAGGCCCACCAAGGCGACGACCCGUAGCUGGUCUGAGAGGGUGAUCAGCCGCACUGGAACUGAGACACGGUCCAGACUCCUACGGGAGGCAGCAGUGGGGAAUAUUGGACAAUGGGCGGAAGCCUGAUCCAGCCAUACCGCGUGAGUGAAGAAGGCCUUCGGGUUGUAAAGCCCUUUUGUUGGGAAAGAAAAGCAGCAGGUUAAUACCCCGCUGUUCUGACGGUACCCAAAGAAUAAGCACCGGCUAACUUCGUG